RNAcentral lists this long non-coding RNA (1325 nucleotides) under Brassica napus (rape). RNAcentral's name for it is "long non-coding RNA (BNAP_LNC023193)". The record is from RNAcentral. Lineage: Eukaryota; Viridiplantae; Streptophyta; Magnoliopsida; Brassicales; Brassicaceae.
UAUGAUUAACUAAUCUAAACUUAAAACAUCAACACUAAACCCUAAAUCAUCAACUAUGAACCCUAAACCAUGAAACAUCAACUCUAAACCCUAAACCCCGAAACAUCAACUCUAAACCUUAAACCCUAAAACUUCAAAUCUAAAUCCUAAAACAUCAACUCUAAACCCCAAACGUAAACCCUAAACCCUAAAUCUAAACUUAAAACAUCAACUUUAAACCUAAAUCACCAACUCUAAACCCUAAAUAAUGAAACAUCAACUCUAAACCCUAAACCCCGAAACAUCAACUCUAAACCCUAAACCCUAAACCUUCAAAUCAAAACCCUAAAACAUCAACUAUAAACCCUAAACGUAAACCUUAAACCCUAAACCAUAUAUUUUCUGAAAUUCGAACCCUAAACCCUAAAACCCUAAACCUUCAAAUCUAAACCAUAAAACAUCAACUCUAAACCCUAAACGUAAACCCUAAAUCUUCAAAUCUAAACCCUAAAACAUCAACUCUAGGGUUUUAGGGUUUAGGGUUUAGGAUUUAAGGUUUAGGGUUUAGAGUUGAAGGUUUAAGGUUUAGGGUAUGUUUCAGGGUUUAGGGUUUAUUUCAAAAAAAAUAUGGUUUAGGAUUGAUGGUUUAGGGUUUAGGGUUCGUAUUUAAAAGAAAAUAGGGUUUAGGAUUGAUGGUUUAGGGUUUAGAGUUGAGUUUUAAGGUUUAGAGUUUGAAUUUCAAAAUAGUAUAAUUCAGAAUUUUUUAUUUUUUUAGAUUUUUAUUUAUUUAAAUAUUGAUUUAUUAUAUAUAUAAAGAAUAUGGGCAUAUGAGUCUUUUGCCACUUAAUGAAGAAGAUAUUUUUGAAAAUAUCCCUUUAGUGGUGGUAAAAAUGAAAAGUGGUAGCAUGAAAGUGGUAAAUAUGUAAUUUUUCCAUCAGAUUAUGUAUGUAAGGGCAGGGCACUAUUUUGGAUAUCGUCUUUCUUUCUUUAUGUGAACUUGCGUUGUCUAGAUGUUUUACUCGCAGAUGAGAUUUAGGUAAAGAGUUCGGAAGAGAUGAAAUAUUGGAUUUAGAUGACAAUAAACCCGGGUAUGAUGCUGAUCAUGGAUAUGGUGAAGAGGAGUUUGAAGAGAGAAUUGAAACAUGAGGAUCAUGAGUUGGUUAAUCAGAAGGAGGAAGAACUGGAGGAGGAAACAAAGGCAGAUGAAAAUGCAGGUGGGUUUACCGACGACAUUGGAAAUGGUCCGGAGAAGCUUGGGAGUGAAGGUGGUGAUGUGCAUGCUUAUGAUGAUUUUAAGCUUGGAGAAGCUGUUGAUGUGGACAAAGAAAAAGAAGAGCAUCAUGAUG